GAUGAACGCUGGCGGCGUGCCUAAUACAUGCAAGUCGAGCGAACGGACGAGAAGCUUGCUUCUCUGAUGUUAGCGGCGGACGGGUGCGUAACACGUGGAUAACCUACCUAUAAGACUGGGAUAACUUCGGGAAACCGGAUCUACUACCGGAUAAUAUUUUGAACCGCAUGGUUCACGAGUUAAAGACGGUCUUGCUGUCACUUAUAGAUUGAUCCGCGCUGCAUUAGCUAGUUGGUAAGGUAACGGCUUACCAAGGCAACGAUGCAUAGCCGACCUGAGAGGGUGAUCGGCCACACUGGAACUGAGACACGGUCCAGACUCCUACGGGAGGCAGCAGUAGGGAAUCUUCCGCAAUGGGCGAAAGCCUGACGGAGCAACGCCGCGUGAGUGAUGAAGGUCUUCGGAUCGUAAAACUCUGUUAUUAGGGAAGAACAUAUGUGUAAGUAACUGUGCACAUCUUGACGGUACCUAAUCAGAAAGCCACGGCUAACUACGUG
Molecule: ribosomal RNA, 497 nt
Filed under: uncultured bacterium
Lineage: Bacteria
Description: partial 16S ribosomal RNA
Rfam family: Bacterial small subunit ribosomal RNA
Source: RNAcentral